GCUAUGGUAUAACUUAGUGGCAGACGGGUGAGUAAUGUAUAGGAAUCUACCUAGUAGUACGGGAUAAUUGUUGGAAACGUCAACUAAUACCGUAUACGCCCUACGGGGGAAAAAUUUAUUGCUAUUAGAUGAGCCUAUAUUAGAUUAGCUAGUUGGUGGAGUAAUAGCCUACCAAGGCAAUGAUCUAUAGCUGAUCUGAGAGGAUGAUCAGCCACACUGGAACUGAGAUACGGUCCAGACUCCUACGGGAGGCAGCAGUGGGGAAUAUUGGACAAUGGGCGAAAGCCUGAUCCAGCCAUGCCGCAUGAGUGAAGAAGGCCUUUGGGUUGUAAAGCUCUUUUAGUGAGGAAGAUAAUGACGGUACUCACAGAAGAAGUCCUGGCUAACUCCGUGCCAGCAGCCGCGGUAAUACGGGGAGGGCUAGCGUUAUUCGGAAUUAUUGGGCGUAAAGGGCGCGUAGGCUGGUUAAUAAGUUAAAAGUGAAAUCCCGAGGCUUAACCUUGGAAUUGCUUUUAAAACUAUUAAUCUAGAGAUUGAAAGAGGAUAGAGGAAUUCCUGAUGUAGAGGUAAAAUUCGUAAAUAUUAGGAGGAACACCAGUGGCGAAGGCGUCUAUCUGGUUCAAAUCUGACGCUGAAGCGCGAAGGCGUGGGGAGCAAACAGGAUUAGAUACCCUGGUAGUCCACGCUGUAAACGAUGAAUGUUAAAUAUGGGAAGUUUACUUUCUGUAUUACAGCUAACGCGUUAAACAUUCCGCCUGGGGACUACGGUCGCAAGAUUAAAACUCAAAGGAAUUGACGGGGACCCGCACAAGCGGUGGAGCAUGUGGUUUAAUUCGAUGCAACGCGAAAAACCUUACCACUUCUUGACAUGAAAAU
This 876-nucleotide ribosomal RNA is filed under the name Wolbachia endosymbiont of Ctenocephalides felis. RNAcentral describes it as "bacterial SSU rRNA". It matches the Rfam family "Bacterial small subunit ribosomal RNA", at positions 79 to 993 of the family's 1533-position model. The record is from RNAcentral. Lineage: Bacteria; Pseudomonadati; Pseudomonadota; Alphaproteobacteria; Rickettsiales; Anaplasmataceae.